CAGAGAAUGAGAACAUACGCUUACUCAUGAGAACAUAGGCUUACUGGUAAACUGUACAUUAGGGGGUACUAGAGGUGAGGACAUAGGCUUACUGGUAAACUGUACAUUAGGGGGUACUAGAGGUGAGGACAUAGGCUUACUGGUAAACUGUACAUUAGGGGGUACUAGCGGUGAGGACAUAGGCUUAUAGGUAAACUGUACAUUAGGGGGUACUAGCGGUGAGGACAUAGGCUUAUAGGUAAACUGUACAUUAGGGGGUACUAGCGGUGAGGACAUAGGCUUAUAGGUAAACUGUACAUUAGAGGGUACUAGAGGUGAGGACAUAGGCUAACUGGUAAACUGUACAUUAGGGGGUACUAGAGGUGAGGACAUAGGCUUAUAGGUAAACUGUACAUUAGGGGGUACUAGAGGUGAGGACAUAGGCUUAUAGGUAAACUGUACAUUAGAGGGUACUAGAGGUGAGAACAGGCUUAUAGGUAAACUGUACAUUAGGGGGUACUAGCGGUGAGGACAUAGGCUUAUAGGUAAACUGUACAUUAGAGGGUACUAGAGGUGAGGACAUAGGCUAACUGGUAAACUGUACAUUAGGGGGUACUAGAGGUGAGAACUUGGCUAACUGGUAAACUGUACAUUAGGGGGUACUAGCGGUGAGGACAUAGGCUUAUAGGUAAACUGUACAUUAGAGGGUACUAGAGGUGAGGACAUAGGCUUACUGGUAAACUGUAC
Molecule: long non-coding RNA, 726 nt
Organism: Oncorhynchus tshawytscha (Chinook salmon)
Lineage: Eukaryota; Metazoa; Chordata; Actinopteri; Salmoniformes; Salmonidae
Source: Ensembl